RNAcentral lists this unclassified non-coding RNA (464 nucleotides) under uncultured bacterium. RNAcentral's name for it is "partial contains 16S ribosomal RNA, 16S-23S ribosomal RNA intergenic spacer, and 23S ribosomal RNA". The stretch from base 121 to 193 matches the Rfam family "tRNA". The record is from RNAcentral.
GUCGUAACAAGGUAGCCGUAGGGGAACCUGCGGUUGGAUCACCUCCUUACCUGAAGAUACCUUCCCGCGCAGUGUCCACACAGAUUGUCUGAUAGAAAAAUAAUGAGCAAGAACACCAGAGUCCCCAUCGUCUAGAGGCCCAGGACACUGCCCUUUCACGGCUGUAACAGGGGUUCGAAUCCCCUUGGGGACGCCAUCUCCUGAUAAUGAGUGAAAGACAUUAUCAACCAGUAUCUCAAAACUGAUUCAUUCCGUAAGGAUUAAGUCACGUUUGAGAUAUUUGCUCUUUAACAAUCCGGAACAAGCUGAAAAUUGAAACGACGUGUCGCGUUCAUUCUCCGUAAUAAGAAUGAAAAAUGGCGACAUGUUCGAGUCUCUCAAAUGCUUACGACUGACAUGAGUCCUGCGGGACGCUUGUGGGUUGUGAGGUUAAGUGACUAAGCGUACACGGUGGAUGCCUUGGC